This 486-nucleotide ribosomal RNA is filed under the name uncultured bacterium. Its description in RNAcentral is "partial 16S ribosomal RNA". It matches the Rfam family "Bacterial small subunit ribosomal RNA", at positions 29 to 507 of the family's 1533-position model. The record is from RNAcentral.
AUUGAACGCUGGCGGCAUGCUUUACACAUGCAAGUCGAGCGGCAGCGCGGGGGCAACCCUGGCGGCGAGCGGCGAACGGGUGAGUAAUGCAUCGGAACGUAUCCUCGAGUGGGGGAUAACCCAGCGAAAGUUGGGCUAAUACCGCAUGAGCUCUGAGGAGGAAAGCGGGGGACCUGCGAGGGCCUCGCGCUGGGGGAGCGGCCGAUGUCCGAUUAGCUAGUUGGUGGGGUAAAGGCUUACCAAGGCGACGAUCGGUAGCUGGUCUGAGAGGAUGAUCAGCCACACUGGGACUGAGACACGGCCCAGGCUCUUACGGGAGGCAGCAGUGGGGAAUUUUGGACAAUGGGGGCAACCCUGAUCCAGCCAUGCCGCGUGAGUGAAGAAGGCCUUCGGGUUGUAAAGCUCUUUCGGACGGAACGAAAUGGGCGGGACUAAUACUCCUGUCUGAUGACGGUACCGUAAGAAGAAGCACCGGCUAACUACGUG